ACACUGAUAAACUCUCCCUUUCCCAAACUCAUCUUCAACCCCCUUGCACUGCCUGUUUAAUUCAGCGUCAUCAGAAAAUAACCCCAAAUGUCUUGCACUCCUGGCUUCUGCUGAUAGAGGAGAAAGGGCUUAAGACCCUGAAAAAAAAAAUUUAUAGGAAAAUUUCCCCAAAAGGUAAGCACAAUAAAAAGUCAAAAGGAGGUACGGGCUGAAGAAUGACUUCCUGCAAUGUGUAAUUUCAAGAAUUAGAGUUUGUCAAAGGUGUUAAAAAUAAAAUGAGUGUGAAUGUCCUACAAGGUUUAUGAGAAAGUUCAGAAGGAAAGUAAAGAAAGACUAAGCAGCAAGACUUUUAGUAUUCCUGUAUCCUGGAGAAGGCAGCACUCGAGCCACCAUCUUGGAAGUGAAGAUCAGGCCCUCAGCAGACACAAAACCUGCCAGUGCCAUGAUCUUGGAUUUUUCAACCUGCAGGACUAUUCAAUGAAAUUCCAAUGAAAAUCUCAAGUUAUUAUGUGAAUAUUGAAAAACGAACCCUAAAGUUUAUAUGGAGAGCCAAAAAAUGCAAAAGAGCCAGCACAUAUUGAAAGAGAAGAACAAAGUCAGAAGAUUGACACUACCUGACUUCAAGACUUAUGAUAAAGCUUCAGUAAUAAAGACAGUGUGGUAUGGACAAACUAAUAGAAAUACAGAUCAAUGGAACAGAACAGAGAACCCAGAAAUAGAUUCACAUAAAUAUAUUGUCAACUGACCUUUGACAAAUAAGAAAAAGCAAUACAGUAGAGCAAAAAUAGCCUUUUCACUAAACAAAUGAACAUCCACAUUCAAAAAAAAAAAAUGAAUCUAGAUGGAGACUUACAUGCUUCACAAAAAUUAACUCAAAAUGAAUAAUAAACCUAAAUGUAAAACACAAAACAAUAAAAAUCCUAGAAAUAACAUGGAAGAAAAUCUAGAUAACCGUGGGGAUGAAGAUGAGUUUUUAGAUACAGCAUCAUCGGUAUAAUCCACGAAAGAAAAAAUAGAUAAACUGGACUUCAAUGAAAUUAAAAUUUCUGUUCUGCAUAAGACAAUGUCUAGAUAACAAGAAAACAAGGCACAGACUGGGAAGGCAUAUUUGGAAAAGACACAUAUGAUAGAGGACAGUUAUCUAAAAUAUAUCAUGCACCCUUAAAGUUCAACAAUAAUCAAACAAUCUGACUGACAAAUGGGCUGAAGACCUUAAGAGACACUUUACUUAAAGAAGAUUAUACAGAUGGGAAAUAAGCAAUGACAAGAUGGUCCACAUCAUAUGUCAUCAGAAAAAUGUAAAUUAAAACCAUGAGAUACUACAGUGCAUCUGUUAAAAUGGCCCAAAUCUGGAAAACUGACAACAUCAAAUGCUCAUGAAGCUGUGGAGGAAAAAGGGCUCUUAUUCAUUGUUGCUGAAAGCAAAAUGUUACAGCUACUUUGAAAGACAGUUGGGUAGUUUCUUACAAAACUAAACAUACUCAUUAUAUGACAUAACAAUUGCACUCUUUGGUAUUUAACCAAAGGAGUUGAAAAUUUUAUCUUCAUAAAAACCUCUAUGUAGAGUUUUGUAGCAGCUUUAUUUAUAAUUGUCAAAACUUGGAAGCAACCAAAAUGUCCUUCAGUGGGCGAAUGAAAAAAAAAAGAACUGUGGGAUAUUGAGGCAAUGGAAUAUUAUUCAGUGCUAAAAAGAAAUAAGCCAUUAAGUCAUGAAAAGACACAGGUUAACUUUAAAUGCAUAUGACUAAGCAAAAGAAGACAAUACCAAAAGACUAUAUGCUGAACGAUUCCUGUAUGAUACUACAAUUAACACAAGCCAUUAUUUAUCUGUCCAAACCCAUAGAAUGUACAACAUAAGAGUGAACUGUAAUGUUGGGACCAGGUGUGACAGCUCAUGCCUCAGAAGUCGAGGGUUCAGUGUGCUGUGAUUGCACCAAUGCACUCCAGCUUAGGUGACACAGUGAGACUCUGUCUCAGAAAAAAAAAAAAAAAAAGUGUACC
Long non-coding RNA from Homo sapiens (human), 2001 nucleotides. RefSeq lists it as uncharacterized. Lineage: Eukaryota; Metazoa; Chordata; Mammalia; Primates; Hominidae. The record is from RefSeq and is a predicted model, not a curated record. The transcript has 5 exons.